Molecule: ribosomal RNA, 396 nt
Filed under: uncultured bacterium
Lineage: Bacteria
Description: bacterial SSU rRNA
Rfam family: Bacterial small subunit ribosomal RNA
Source: RNAcentral
AUUGAACGCUGGCGGCAUGCCUUACACAUGCAAGUCGAACGGUAACGGGCCUUCGGGUGCCGACGAGUGGCGAACGGGUGAGUAAUGUAUCGGAACGUACCUUUCAGUGGGGGAUAACGUAGCGAAAGUUACGCUAAUACCGCAUAUUCUGUGAGCAGGAAAGCAGGGGAUCGCAAGACCUUGCGCUGAUUGAGCGGCCGAUAUCAGAUUAGCUAGUUGGUGAGGUAAAGGCUCACCAAGGCGACGAUCUGUAGCGGGUCUGAGAGGAUGAUCCGCCACACUGGAACUGAGACACGGUCCAGACUCCUACGGGAGGCAGCAGUGGGGAAUUUUGGACAAUGGGGGCAACCCUGAUCCAGCCAUGCCGCGUGAGUGAAGAAGGCCUUCGGGUUGGUU